Molecule: small RNA, 577 nt
Filed under: Pongo abelii (Sumatran orangutan)
Lineage: Eukaryota; Metazoa; Chordata; Mammalia; Primates; Hominidae
Description: retained intron
Source: RNAcentral
UGUGGCACUGUUUGGGAAGAUAUGCUCAAGAGGCUUGUAUGGUAGCGACAAAGAAUUACAUAAAUUGGAACUAUUUUGGAUAUAAUUUUUUUCAGGAGUCUCACAACUCAAGAAAGAAACGGGAAAUUACUGAAAAACAGAUAGACGAUAACAGAAAAUUUUCUUUAUUUGCUGAAAGAAAAUACCAGACUCUUAACUGUAGCGUGAACGUGAACUGUGUGAACAUCAGAUGCCCACUGCGAGGGCUGGACAGCAAGGCGUCUCUUAUUUUGCGCUCGAGGUUAUGGAAUGGCACAUUUCUAGAGGAAUAUUCCAAACUGAACUACUUGGACAUUCUCAUGCGAGCCUUCAUUGAUGUGACUGCUGCUGCUGAAAAUAUCAGGCUGCCAAAUGCAGGCACUCAGGUUCGUGUGACUGUGUUUCCCUCAAAGACUGUAGCUCAGUAUUCGGGAGUACCUUGGUGGAUCAUCCUAGUGGCUAUUCUCGCUGGGAUCUUGAUGCUUGCUUUAUUAGUGUUUAUACUAUGGAAGUGUGGUUUCUUCAAGAGAAAUAAGAAAAAUCAUUAUGAUGCCACAUA